GACGAACGCUGGCGGCGUGCUUAACACAUGCAAGUCGAACGGAAAGGCCCUGCUUUUGUGGGGUGCUCGAGUGGCGAACGGGUGAGUAACACGUGAGUAACCUGCCCUUGACUUUGGGAUAACUUCAGGAAACUGGGGCUAAUACCGGAUAGGAGCUCCUGCUGCAUGGUGGGGGUUGGAAAGUUUCGGCGGUUGGGGAUGGACUCGCGGCUUAUCAGCUUGUUGGUGGGGUAGUGGCUUACCAAGGCUUUGACGGGUAGCCGGCCUGAGAGGGUGACCGGCCACAUGGGGACUGAGAUACGGACCAGAAUCCUACGGGAGGCAGCAGUGGGGAAUAUUGCACAAUGGGCGGAAGCCUGAUGCAGCAACUCCGCGUGCGGGAUGACGGCCUUCGGGGUGUAAACCGCUUUCGCCUGUGACGAAGCGUGAGUGACGGUAAUGGGUAAAGAAGCACCGGCUAACUACGUG
Molecule: ribosomal RNA, 468 nt
Filed under: uncultured bacterium
Lineage: Bacteria
Description: partial 16S ribosomal RNA
Rfam family: Bacterial small subunit ribosomal RNA
Source: RNAcentral